UGAAAACCAGAGUAAUGGGUGUGUGG
This 26-nucleotide non-coding RNA is filed under the name Rattus norvegicus (Norway rat). The record is from RNAcentral. Lineage: Eukaryota; Metazoa; Chordata; Mammalia; Rodentia; Muridae.